GGGCCGGUGGUCUAGUGGUUGCAAAUGAAACCGAACAUACGUUCGGAAAUAGGUAUUCCCGGAGGUUUACCUUGUUUGACAUAAAUGACGCCGCCCUUACAAGGCGGAGAUCGAGAGUUCAAUUCUCUCCCGGCCCA
RNAcentral lists this transfer RNA (137 nucleotides) under Candidatus Aenigmatarchaeota archaeon. RNAcentral describes it as "tRNA-Val". The stretch from base 61 to 131 matches the Rfam family "tRNA", at positions 6 to 65 of the family's 71-position model. Rfam says of the family: Transfer RNA (tRNA) molecules are approximately 80 nucleotides in length. Their secondary structure includes four short double-helical elements and three loops (D, anti-codon, and T loops). Further hydrogen bonds mediate the characteristic L-shaped molecular structure. tRNAs have two regions of fundamental functional importance: the anti-codon, which is responsible for specific mRNA codon recognition, and the 3' end, to which the tRNAs corresponding amino acid is attached (by aminoacyl-tRNA synthetases). tRNAs cope with the degeneracy of the genetic code in two manners: having more than one tRNA (with a specific anti-codon) for a particular amino acid; and 'wobble' base-pairing, i.e. permitting non-standard base-pairing at the 3rd anti-codon position. Lineage: Archaea; Nanobdellati; Candidatus Aenigmatarchaeota. The record is from RNAcentral.